CGAUAACGGCGUCGAGCGGCGGACGGGUGAGUAAUGCCUAGGAAAUUGCCCUGAUGUGGGGGAUAACCAUUGGAAACGAUGGCUAAUACCGCAUGAUGCCUACGGGCCAAAGAGGGGGACCUUCGGGCCUCUCGCGUCAGGAUAUGCCUAGGUGGGAUUAGCUAGUUGGUGAGGUAAGGGCUCACCAAGGCGACGAUCCCUAGCUGGUCUGAGAGGAUGAUCAGCCACACUGGAACUGAGACACGGUCCAGACUCCUACGGGAGGCAGCAGUGGGGAAUAUUGCACAAUGGGCGCAAGCCUGAUGCAGCCAUGCCGCGUGUGUGAAGAAGGCCUUCGGGUUGUAAAGCACUUUCAGUCGUGAGGAAGG
RNAcentral lists this ribosomal RNA (368 nucleotides) under Vibrio parahaemolyticus. Its description in RNAcentral is "bacterial SSU rRNA". It matches the Rfam family "Bacterial small subunit ribosomal RNA", at positions 77 to 451 of the family's 1533-position model. The record is from RNAcentral. Lineage: Bacteria; Pseudomonadati; Pseudomonadota; Gammaproteobacteria; Vibrionales; Vibrionaceae.